Molecule: non-coding RNA, 21 nt
Filed under: Caenorhabditis elegans
Lineage: Eukaryota; Metazoa; Nematoda; Chromadorea; Rhabditida; Rhabditidae
Source: RNAcentral
UUGUUUUGUGGUGCUGAAAAU